This 253-nucleotide ribosomal RNA is filed under the name uncultured bacterium. Its description in RNAcentral is "partial 16S ribosomal RNA". It matches the Rfam family "Bacterial small subunit ribosomal RNA", at positions 524 to 776 of the family's 1533-position model. The record is from RNAcentral.
UACGAAGGGGGCGAGCGUUGUUCGGAAUUACUGGGCGUAAAGGGCGCGUAGGCGGCCCUGGAAGUCAGAUGUGAAAGCCCCGGGCUCAACCUGGGAAUUGCAUUUGAUACUCUGGGGCUGGAGUUCGGGAGAGGAGAGUGGAAUUCCCAGUGUAGAGGUGAAAUUCGUAGAUAUUGGGAAGAACACCGGUGGCGAAGGCGGCUCUCUGGACCGAAACUGACGCUGAGGCGCGAAAGCGUGGGGAGCAAACAGG